This 73-nucleotide transfer RNA is filed under the name Candidatus Saccharimonadota bacterium. RNAcentral describes it as "tRNA-Arg". It matches the Rfam family "tRNA". Rfam says of the family: Transfer RNA (tRNA) molecules are approximately 80 nucleotides in length. The record is from RNAcentral. Lineage: Bacteria; Candidatus Saccharimonadota.
CGGGUGGUAGCUCAGUCAGUAGAGCGCUCGUCUUCGGGACGAGAGGUCGGAGGUUCAAAUCCUUUCCACCCGA